RNAcentral lists this unclassified non-coding RNA (2899 nucleotides) under Lucilia cuprina (Australian sheep blowfly). RNAcentral's name for it is "serine-arginine protein 55, transcript variant X5". The record is from RNAcentral. Lineage: Eukaryota; Metazoa; Arthropoda; Insecta; Diptera; Calliphoridae.
AUUCACUCUUCGUUCGUUUUCGGAACACGCGCUUGAUACGUCGUGAGUUUUUCAAUCAUUGUUUUUAUGUGUGCUGUGAAAAAAGUGAAAAUUUCCCGAAAUAAUUAAGAUAAAAAGAAUAAUCCAAAUCAGUAAAAUUGUUAAGCUAAAUUUAUUUAGCAAAGCUUAAAAACACAUUUAAAUAAAUAAAACAAUGGUGGGUUCACGAGUGUAUGUUGGAGGUUUACCAUAUGGUGUAAGAGAACGCGACUUAGAGCGUUUCUUUAAAGGCUAUGGACGAACACGCGAUAUUUUAAUUAAAAAUGGCUACGGUUUUGUGGAAUUUGAAGAUUACCGUGAUGCAGAUGACGCGGUCUAUGAAUUAAAUGGGAAAGAGCUAUUGGGUGAAAGAGUUGUGGUUGAACCUGCCCGUGGUACAGCUCGUGGUAGCCAUAGGGAUCGUUACGACCGCUAUGAUGGUGGUCGUCGUGGUGGCGGACGUUAUAAUGACAAAAAUAAGAACAACAGAUCAAACUCCCGCUAUGGUCCACCAUUGCGUACUGAAUAUCGUCUAAUUGUGGAGAAUUUGUCCAGUCGUGUCAGUUGGCAGUGCGUGUCCUAAAAUAAGAUACAUACAAGUGGUGUUUCAAAUUAGGUGAACAAUAAACAAAUGGGUCAAUUAUGAAGAUGCACUUCAGAACGGAAUAAUCAAUCGUAUUGUGUGUGUGGGUCCUUAUCGCAUCUUCCACAAAUUCUCAAUUAGAUGUGUGACUAUCGUUAUCAAUGCUAAAAAGAAAGGUGUUGGCAAAUUAUAAUACAAAGAAUAUCAAUUAUAACAUUGAUAAAGCUGGUCAGUUAGUCAACCGAACCAUGUAUUCCAAUUGAUGAUUAAACAUUUUCAACACAAAUCGUCGUUCAACGUGCAAAAAUGAUGAUCGAUAGAUGCGUACUUGUUUUAUACUAAGGAAGAACCGAAAUAAGAACUAUUUCUUUUAUUAAAUAGAUAUAGAAGACGUAUUUGUUUUGUCAGAGAUGCCAAUCAUGUUCAGGUUUCUUAACAUACAUAUGUAAAUUAUUAAUUACCUUCGACGCAGAAGAUGCUUACGAAUGACAUCGCAAACUGAUCGCUUUUAAAAUGCUAUGCGUGUACGAACGAGUGUAGAAAAAUCUCAUAAUUCUAAACAUACACAACAAUCUGUAGCCACUUGCUUAUAAAAAAGACAAUUUCAUCAUUGUGAUAUGAGGCCGCGCGGAAGAGAAUUAUACAAAAUACAUAAUAAACAUGAGAUAAAUCCAUACAUCUCAAUCGUUCUAUCUAUAGACGCCUACUCUGACUACCGACAACUUAUAUCGAAAUACGGUGGUCACCAAAAAUGUUGAAGUUGUUUUAUUUAUACGUUUGUGUUUGUGUCUAAGAUUGAGAAUUAAUGAAUGAUACCAUCAAUUUAGGUAUUUCAAAAAUCAAUUUCAUUAAGUUUUAAAACAAAUUUUUAAUAUUUUUGAAAUAUAAAAAUUUAAUUCUAGAAUUCUGAAAGUAUAUUUCGAUUUUAUCUUUUCCGAACACAAGAUUUCGGAGUACUCGAUAGAAGCAGAGGUCCGACCAUUUGUGCGAUUGUGAAAUAAACUAAAUGCGUAUCAUAUAAUAUCAUGUUUGGAAUAAACUUGCGAAUUAUAAAUAAUGAUCGUGCGGGAAUAUCAAUCUAAUCCAAACCGAGCCUGUCGAGUAUUGUACAACAACAAGACAGAUACAAUAAAAAGUUAAAAUGAAGUCUUUCUGACGGCAUAUAAAACAGGCAGGCAAACACUCUUCCCAAGAAGACAAUUUUUGUACAUUGAGAGGGAGCGAGAAAGGAGAGGGAAUAUUUUGGUUAAACCUCGAUGACUGGGAUGACACGAUUCAUUUCUUCCAACUUUUUUUGGCAUAACCAUUCUAAGACAGUUGAUGAAGCGACGACUACUACGAAGCGAGGAAAGCUUAAGCUCUACGUCCUAGUUGAGCAGAUGCUUUAAAGAUGUUUGACCACACGAAUAGACCGGCAUAAUACUCUUACAUAAACUUGUCUCCUUUUAACUAUGAGACAUGUCACAAUUUCUCUCUUUUUCAGUAGUUGCAGUACGUUUUUAAAGCGAACUGAUACAUGACUCUGUUUUCCAGUGAGGUUGGCAAACUAAACUCAUACAUGCAUCGGUCCAUAGGUUCAGGCUUAUAUCAUUCCUCUGGCAAACAAUUUUGGCAGAUGUCAUUGGCUAAUAACUAAUGUCGCCUACUACUACCACCAGCACCACUGUGUUCCCCCUUUUCCAAAAACAAAGACUACUGGAAGUUUGGCAAUAAUAUGUAUUCAGACAGUUCAGAUUUGACAUGGUCUGUGUCGGUUAAAUCGUACAUUCUCCGAUGUUUACAUUCCUCCAGCUCUUGAUUUUUAGUAUUGGUUAUAAUAAAAUGUACAUUUUCUUAAUAUGUGCCCCCCUUAUGAUGAUAAUGAUGAUGAUGAAGUGUGCCCUAAUCGCGAUUUUGUAGUACAGUCAGUUCCUAUGAAAAACACGUGUGCAUCGUUCUUGUGAGGUGUGAAGUGUAUGCGUUACUACAGCUUGAUAAGAUGUGCAACUUUUAUGAGAAAUGGCCGUCUACUUCUAACAACUACCCUUCCACAUCACCUAUACAUACAUAAAAACACGUGCCACAAUGUCAAAAUUGGUCAGUUGAUCGAUCUCCUUCUGGUUCUGGUAGAUUGGUUGGUCCAUAAAAAACGUUCCAAAAACAGACGUCUCGUCUUCUAUGACCUUAAAGAUUAUAUGCGCCAAGCCGGUGAAGUAACCUAUGCUGAUGCCCAUAAGCAAAGAAGAAAUGAGGGAGUUGUGGAGUUUGCUUCAUUGUCUGAUAUGAAGACUGCUAUUGAAAAAUUGGAUGAUACUGACU